UGAGGAAUAUUGGUCAAUGGGGGCAACCCUGAACCAGCCAAGUCGCGUGAAGGAUGAAGGUCUUCUGGAUUGUAAACUUCUUUUACACGGGAAUAAAGUGGGGGACGUGUCCCCCUUUGCAUGUACCGUGUGAAUAAGGAUCGGCUAACUCCGUGCCCGCAGCCGCGGUAAUACGGAGGAUCCGAGCGUUAUCCGGAUUUAUUGGGUUUAAAGGGUGCGCAGGCGGGAUGUUAAGGCGGCGGUGAAAUUUUGCAGCUCAACUGUAAAAGUGCCUUCGAUACUGGCCUCCUUGAGUGUGGAUGAAGUAGGCGGAAGUUGUGGUGUAGCGGUGAAAUGCUUAGAGAUCACGAGGAACUCCCAUUCCGCAGGCAGCUUACUAAGCCACAACUGACGCUCAUG
RNAcentral lists this ribosomal RNA (399 nucleotides) under uncultured bacterium. RNAcentral's name for it is "bacterial SSU rRNA". It matches the Rfam family "Bacterial small subunit ribosomal RNA", at positions 355 to 751 of the family's 1533-position model. The record is from RNAcentral.